AUGCCGCUUCCAGCAAAAUCACCGUCUCCGGCUUGCCGCCGUCGUCGGCUUGCACCACCGUGCUCCAGCAAACAAAAGUCCAAUAGAUGGAUGCAGCAAAAAAGAAGCCGGUUCCAGCAAAAAUUAACAUCGCAUCCAGCAAAACAAAAUUCAUCAACAAAAAUCAUCAUAGUCUAUGCAGCAAAUUCAGAUGCUAGUUCCAGAAAAAAUCAACAGAGGUUCCAGCAAAAAUUGAUGUGGCGAAAAAUCAUGAAGGAGACGGCGCCACCCUCCUCUAAAUUUGCAGCAAAAUCAAAAGAAGGUUCCGACAGAAAUAGAAGUGGUUCUAGCAAAAAUCAAACACAGGUUUCAGCAAAAAUUUGA
This 363-nucleotide ribosomal RNA is filed under the name Triticum aestivum (bread wheat). RNAcentral's name for it is "partial small subunit ribosomal RNA". Lineage: Eukaryota; Viridiplantae; Streptophyta; Magnoliopsida; Poales; Poaceae. The record is from RNAcentral.